AGCGAACGCUGGCGGCAGGCUUAACACAUGCAAGUCGAACGGGCACUUCGGUGCUAGUGGCAGACGGGUGAGUAACACGUGGGAACGUACCUUUCGGUUCGGAAUAAUUCAGGGAAACUUGGACUAAUACCGGAUACGCCCUUCGGGGAAGGAUUAUCGCCGAUAGAUCGGCCCGCGUCUGAUUAGCUAGUUGGUGAGGUAAUGGCUCACCAAGGCGACGAUCAGUAGCUGGUCUGAGAGGAUGAUCAGCCACAUUGGGACUGAGACACGGCCCAA
RNAcentral lists this ribosomal RNA (276 nucleotides) under uncultured bacterium. Its description in RNAcentral is "partial 16S ribosomal RNA". It matches the Rfam family "Bacterial small subunit ribosomal RNA", at positions 29 to 334 of the family's 1533-position model. The record is from RNAcentral.